AACGAACGCUGGCGGCGUGGAUAAGACAUGCAAGUCGAACGGGACUUUUUCUGGUAGCAAUACCGGAAAAGUCUAGUGGCGAACGGGUGCGUAACACGUGGACAAUCUGCCUUAAAGUGGGGGGAUAGCUCGGCGAAAGCCGAAUUAAUACCGCAUGUGAUGAGGGAAGACAUCUUUACCGAAAUACAAAGCCGGGGCAACCUGGCGUCUUUUGAGGAGUCCGCGGCCUAUCAGCUUGUUGGUGAGGUAACGGCUCACCAAGGCUAUGACGGGUAGCUGGUCUGAGAGGACGACCAGUCACACUGGAACUGAGACACGGUCCAGACACCUACGGGUGGCAGCAGUCGAGUAAUUUUUCUCAAGU
This 364-nucleotide ribosomal RNA is filed under the name uncultured bacterium. RNAcentral's name for it is "bacterial SSU rRNA". It matches the Rfam family "Bacterial small subunit ribosomal RNA", at positions 29 to 373 of the family's 1533-position model. The record is from RNAcentral.